Molecule: ribosomal RNA, 468 nt
Filed under: uncultured bacterium
Lineage: Bacteria
Description: partial 16S ribosomal RNA
Rfam family: Bacterial small subunit ribosomal RNA
Source: RNAcentral
GACGAACGCUGGCGGUGUGCUUAACACAUGCAAGUCGAACGGUAAGGCCCUUUCGGGGGUACACGAGUGGCGAACGGGUGAGUAACACGUGAGUAAACUGCCCUCAUCUCUGGGAUAACAGUCGGAAACGGUUGCUAAUACUGGAUAUGAGCUUGCAAGGCAUCUUGUGGGUUGGAAAGAUUUUUUUUGGUUGGGGAUGGACUCGCGGCCUAUCAGCUUGUUGGUGUGGUAGUGGCUCACCAAGGCUUCGACGGGUAGCCGGCCUGAGAGGGCGACCGGCCACAUUAGGCCUCAGAUACGGCCCGAACUCCUACGGGAGGCAGCAGUGGGGAAUAUUGCACAAUGGACGGAAGUCUGAUGCAGCAAGGCCGCGUGCGGGAUGACGGCCUUCGGGUUGUAAGACGCUUUCAAUUGUGACGAAGCUUUUUUGUGACGGUAGCAGUAGAAGAAGCACCGGCUAACUACGUG